This is a long non-coding RNA of Gavialis gangeticus (Gharial), 101 nucleotides long. RefSeq lists it as uncharacterized. Lineage: Eukaryota; Metazoa; Chordata; Crocodylia; Gavialidae. The record is from RefSeq and is a predicted model, not a curated record. The transcript has 3 exons.
GUACCAUGCUUUACUAUUUCCUUUUGGUACUCCUGAAAGUACUAAAGCAUGGUGCAGUAUGGGUGAUUACUGCACUGUGCAUGUGGAGCACAGUUAAAUUU